RNAcentral lists this long non-coding RNA (10620 nucleotides) under Mytilus galloprovincialis (Mediterranean mussel). The record is from RNAcentral. Lineage: Eukaryota; Metazoa; Mollusca; Bivalvia; Mytilida; Mytilidae.
GUCAUUGUCUAUAUGCUUAUUGUCGAACAUCUCUUGAAGGACGGUGUUGAUCCUUCGAAUAGUAUUAAGCGUUGGAUCUGUGGUUAAUUGUUUAUAAAAAUGGAGUUAGAAAGUUGGCGAUUCCCCUCUGCUAUAUAAUCUGUUUUAUUCAUGAUAACCACAGCGCCCCCUUUGUCGGCAGGUUUUAUUACAAUAUCCUCUUGAUCUUUUAACGCUUUCAAAGCUAUACUUUCUGACUUGGAUAAAUUAUAAUUUCUUGUAUUUGUUAUACAGGACUUUAUAUCAGACCUCACGUAGUUAAUGAAUGACUCCAAGUUAUCAUUUUUACUCUUUGGUGGUUUCCAUGAACUUGUUGUCCUAAAUUUUGGGAUGGGCGUGACUUCUUCAUUGGUGUCAGUAUCUGAAUCUGUUAAUCCGGCUUCUUCAAGGUUUUUCUUGCCCCUAUUGUAGAAAAAAUCUUUCAAGCGUAAACGUCUAGCGAAUUGGUCUAGGUCUCCGUCUAGCUAAAAAGUUGUUUACAGUUGAUGGGAUAGGACAGAAGUUUAAACCUUUACUUAAAAGAGAUUCCUCAGCACGUGUAAGUUCUUUAGAUGACAAAUUUACAACAAUGCUUUCUGUUUUUUGUUUCCGUCUUUUAAAUUUUCUUUUUCUAGGGAUCUUAUGGUCUGUUGUAUUAAUAUCAUUCAUAUGCUGAUUUAAAUGGACAGUGUGAAUUUUAUCUCUUUGAAAUUUAUUCCUUUGUUUUUCUUUAUGUUUCGAUAGUUCAAUUUGUUCAAUAUCUGCGAGUCGACGUUUAAUUAUUGCUAAAUCGUCACGAGAAAUGUUACUAUUGUUGAUGAUAUAAACUCAUCAUAGAUAUCAGGACUAAAUUUUAUAUAUACGCCAGACGCGCGUUUCGUCUACAAAAGACUCAUCAGUGACGCUCAAAUCCAAAAUAAGUUUUAAAAAGCCAAAUAAAGUACGAAGUUGAAGAGUAUCAGAUAUCUGAUAUUUCAUUUACAAUUUGUUUGUAAUUUGUGGUUGUAAAGGAAAGUAACAGUUGAAGAAGCUGGAUUGAACAGUUAAACAGAAUUUCAUUCCAACGGCUCAUGAAUCUUUUGGAUUUAUGUCCCGGUGCCUGGCGACUCACUUUGAUGUUUAAACCUUUUGGUACAGUUUUACUUUGAAUAUUGAAGUUAUUAGAAGUAAACAUAAUUCGAAAGAAAAGAUUGUACAAUAUUGAGGAAGUUUACUGCAAAAACCGUAAAAAAAUCUAAACAAUAUUUUUUUUUAAUCCGUCGAAAAUACAAUGAGAAAAUAUACUAAAAACGUGUCGAAAAGUAUGAAUAAAGUAGCUUUGUUACCCUUAUAAUACCAGUUGUUGAUAUAAUAUUUCCAGAUUAUUAUGUAGGGCUGAUGAUAUAUUUCACUUCAUUUAACUAAUUGUAAUAAUAUCAAUUUGUAAAUUCCAAUAAAUGUUUGUCUAAAAUUUACCCAUACGGUCCAACUACAUAUAUGGUUCCAGUUCGUCCUAUAAUGCACGUUUAUACGCAUACGAUCAGGAACGUAUCAUUGUGGUCUGUUUUCAUUCUGCGUACGGUCCAAAUCGUCAUAUGGUCUGGGACAUUUAUAUAAACCUAUAAACAUAUGGUGGAUAUUGUUAUACACUACUUAUAGGUUGCAUUUCUGUAUAUAUUGACAAUGCAAUUUCCUUUAGGAACUCCUUUUACGUCUUAAACUGUACCACUUUUACUAUGAAGUUUUGAAAAAAACUCUUAUCCUAGAAUUGAAAGUAUAUAUAUGCAUCACAAUUGUUUUCAAAGGUCAACAUAUAGGGCUGUGCGGCAUAUCUUCAACGUUUAUAUGCCCUGAACUUCUCAGAGUUUAAACUAACACUAAUUUUCUUAACUACCCCUACCUCGAAUGAAAGGUUACCACAGAUUUCAAUGUAAACAAUAUGCACAAGUUUAUUUACAGGUUACAUUCCCAAGUUAUGUCUUUGUGAGAUGGAACACAGGGAGCAUAACUGGGAACCAGAAUGUAAACAAAAUUAAUUUUCUAUGAAUAUUCAAGAUCUCCCCAAAAGAGGCGUGUUUUGAGAAACAGCUGUAUUUACAAAGUGCAACCUAUAACAUGUACUAAAUAUAUAUUUUUAAAAGAUAUCCAAUAGAUAUUUAAUUUGUCGGCGUCAGCCUAAAAAAUAACUUAACACACAUAGGGAAAACGUACUAUACAACUGUUUUUAAAAUAUAAUUCUUUAAUUUCACUGUUAUCUACCAAAUUGUAAGUUUGGUAUCAUUGUGGUCUGUUUUCAUCCACUGGUGCGAUGUCGUUACUGAUGGACGUUUCGUUCCUGAGUGUAUCUGAGUGGUUGGCAAUCCUUUGGUUGAGAGUUCAAACCCAUACACUGUGCGUUUUGAUGUGUGUUUCUUUAUUCCACAUAGGCUAGAGGUAACGGGAACGAUUGAGAUCUCACUCCGUCUGUGACUUUGAGAACAAAUUAAUUACAAUAGUCACAUAUUCGGAUCCAGAAUUCAUGUGGCAAAAAGUUAUUUAAGUGUUUAAUUCUUUCGGAGUUAGUAAAUAUUCUAAUCUGGUUACUUAUGUGUUCUUUGUUCUACGAAUAUCUGUCUACUCAUGUAUGUUGACAAUGAAACCACAUCUUCUUAUAAGAAUUGUAUAUGAUGGUCCAAGUAAUAUGUCGAAAACGUGUACAUUUCAUUUUUUUCUAGAUUAUCGCAUGCGAUUGUGGUACCUUUUUGGUCUCUUUUCAUUGUGUUACAUAUACAUAUGAAUCGUAACACUUUAUAUUUACUAAACAGGUAAAAGAUAUACUUCUCAAGAAACAAAAAAACUUAUUGGCACCAGGCUAUGAAGGAAUAAAAUCUCAGAUCAAAAUAAAAUUGAGAAUGGGGAAUGUGUCAAAGUGACCACAACCCGACAAUAGAACAGACAAAAGCAGAAAGUCACCAAUAGGUCUGCAAUGCAGCGAGAAACUCCCGCACCGGGAGGCGUCCUUCAGCUGGCCCCUAAACAAAUAUCUAUACUAGUUUAGUGAUAAUGGACGCCAUACUAAACUCCGAAUUAUAGCAUAGCAUGGACAAUAUGUUGGUUAUACGUAAUUGUGCAUAGCAACGAUACCUAUCAAUAAUUGUGCAGAUAACCUAAACUUUUUAUAAGUUUAUCCGGGUUUUCAAACAUUUUUUGUUCAAUUUUUAACUUCACACCAAUCGGUCAAAAAGGCUAUUUCUUCACGUCCAAACAAGUAAAAGUGUUUCAUUCACCAACAAAAAACGUGCGAAAAAUAUCCAAAGCAAUUUUGUAUAUCAAAGUUAUGUAGAUCCGUGCAAACGUUCAUGUCAAUUGCGAACUGACCAAAUAAUUUUUAUAUUACGACCAGUCCACUGAUAUUGACAUUAUCAGAGAGUACACAUCAAAGGCAAAUGCACAAAUCACCGAUAGAUAUGUUAAUUUGUUUAGUACGUUACAUGAAGUGAUUUCGAUUGAGCUUCAUGACGACUCUCUCGCUAAUGGAUAUUUGUGGCUAAAAAUAAAAUAUCGUUUAUUUCAAAUUACUAUCUGGUAAUUAAGUGGAAAUUAAAGACGGAAAUACGUUUUGUGUUCAAUGGAAUCAUAGUUCAAAUCAGUUUAACUACUGUGUAAUUGUCUCGAAAACAACCCUUUCACCCCGGUAAAAUUCAGAUGUAAACAUUUAUUCAAAGUUAUUUGGUACAUUUAUCACCUUUGCGAAUCAGGCUAUUAUAUCACGAAGGCGGGAAUCCUUUUCCAUUGAUUAAAAAUGUAACGGAACGCAAAUGUACUGUAGAAAUAUAUUAAAUUACAAGUUGCGGACACUUUAUAUGAUUUUUUAAAUGAUAGUUCACCUUUGAAAAGGAUAAUCCUAUCAUUAUUUGUGUGUUAUUUGUAGUUAUAAAUUAUCUUCAGAAGUAUCAUAAAAAGUCAUUUAUAAACCUUUUAUAAAAAUAAUUAGAGUGCAGAAAAGUGAUGUGUUGUUUUUAUAAAUGAUGGUAUGAAUUUUACAAACUUGUUAUAACAAAGUCUUACAUAGACAUUGCUAUCAAAAUUAACAUUGAUAUCAGUAAUAGUGAUUAGAGGUCGAUCAGUUUAAAAUGUAUUUUUAUGCAAUUUUAAAAUAAAUGGAUUUUAGGCUCAAAGAAUUAGCGGUUAAAAUAUAGUUGACAACGGUGGUAUCUCCAAAAAAAAUGUUUGUAUUAUUCGGAAGUGAUGUAAUAUUUCGUUUUUCAGUAGUUGCAAGUCAAUGGGGUAUAUGUAAUGAUGAUGGUUUAUUACAGACUUGGGGUAAAUUACAUUGGAAUGUAAUUAAUUAAAUUACACAUUACAUUGCAAAAAUGUUCCAUUACACUAAUUACACAUUACACAGUUUUGGAAAUGUAAUUAAUUAAAUUACAAUUACUUUACUAAAGUAAUUAAUUAAAUUACACAUUACAUUUCAUCAUGAUAUUUGUAAACAAUAUUAUACAUGUAUAUAUAAUGCAUGUGUAAAAUAUGCAUGUAAGCAUAGUUUAAGCAUUGCAUUUGAUAAUCAUUAGUUAUUUUAAUGUUACAUGUAUGUCAUUUAUUCUGAAUCUCUCUGGUCUGAACACUUUGACAGCAAUUCUAAAUAGUCUUGCGACAGGAGCUAAUGUCACAGAUAUUGCUUGAUCAGAACAUAGAAGUUCCAUGAUCAGAAGAUCAUCAUAGUGAUAGGAGAGGGAAUUGGUUCCUAUUAACCAAAUGACAAGAGGUAACCAAAGUAAUUAUCUGUGUAAGAUGACAAGAGGUAUCCAACGUCACUACAUGUGUAAGGAUACCAGAUACCAGAGGUUGCCAAAUUGAUUUAUUGUGUAACGUGACCAGAGCAUCGUUGUAAGUUGACCAGAGGUACACAUAGUCAAUAUCCUUGCAAGUUGACCAGAGGUUACUAAAUUAAAUAUAAGGGUCUGGUGACCAGAACAUCAAUGUAAGGUAUUUAGAGGUAUCAAAAAUCAAUUUCUGUGUAAGGGAACACAUUCCCGUGCUUGUAUUUCCUAGCAUGAAGUAACAAAAUACACAAUUUAUGUUAGGUGAGCAUCGGUAUCCAAAGUCAACAUAUGUGUAAUUAUUGUUAACAGUGGUAACCAAAGUCAAUAUAUGUUAAGAGAACAAUGGGAACCAAAGUAAACAUUUGUAUAAAGCCAACAAAGAGAACCAAAUAUGUGCUAGGUGACGAGAACUACCCAAAUUCAAUAUUUGUGUCAAUCAAGUAGAUGUAGAUGUAAUAAAUUCAUUAUCAGUGUAAAGAGACCAGAGGUAACCAAAUGGGAUAAAAGUGUUAAGUGAACAGAACAUCAUUAUAUAGUGACUAGAGGUAACCAUAGUCAAUAUCUGUGUAUGGUGAUCUGAAUUAAAGAAAUCAAUAUCUGUGAUAGAUGAUAUUUGGGUAACUUAAGUUAACAUCGGAAAGUAAGGUGACCAGAGGUUACACUAGUUAUCACGUCUAACAAUAACUAAAACAUCAUUGUAAGAUGACCAGGGGGCAUAGUCAAUAUCAAUGCAAGGUGACAAAGGUAACCAAACUGAAUAUAUGUGUAAGAUGACGAGGAGUAACUAACAUCAAUAUAUUUGUAUGGUUACCAGAGGUAACCAAUUGAAUAUCUGUUUAAUGUGACCAGAACAUCAUUGUAAUGCAGUCAAUAGAUGUGCAAUGUGACCACAGGUUACCCAAGAAAGUAUAUAUGUAAGGUGACAAGAGGUAACCAUAUUGAAUAUCGGUAGAAUGUGACCAACACGUCCUUGUUAGGCGUCAAUAGGUAAACAUAGUCGAUAUAUGUACAAGUGACCAGAUAUAACUAAAGUAAAAUAGAUGUGUAAUAUCCUUGUAAGUUGAAAAGAGGUAACAAAAUACACAAUUUAUGGUUACAUGGUAGGUGAGCCUUGGUACCCAAAGGUCAACAUAUGUGUUAUUAUAGUGAGCAGAGGUUAACAGAAAGUCAAUAUAUGUCUAUAGAGAACAAAUGGAAUCAAAGUCAGAGGCAAACAAAUCAUAUAAAAAAGUAAAGUGAUCAGAAUAUCAUACCAGAGGUGACCACAGUCAAUAUCUAGGAUAUGUAUAUUUUAGGUACACAUCAACUAUACCUCAAGUAUAGACCAAUUUAAUCUACAUGCAUUGAAAUAUAAUGUUUAUUAAUGUAUAUUGCCAUCAAAACUUUCGACAAGCCUUGUCUACUUGAUGUAUACAUCAUUUGUACCUUAAGUUCAGACCAAUUCAAUCUUCAUACAUUUGAACAUUAUGAAAAAGGAAUGUCUAUUCCCAACAACAACAGUUUGACAGUCUUUUUCUAGUCGAAUCAAAACAUUCGAAAGGCUUUGUUCUACUUAAGUUGCACAUCAACUGUACCUCAAGUGCAAACAAAUUCAAUCUGAAAUAUAAAUCAAUUGCUUUUAAAAGGCAAUUGUAAACGGUCUUUCCCCCCCCCCUUUGAAACAUGAUUGUUUGUAAUGUGUGUGUGUGUGGUGUGUGUUUGUUUGUUUGUUUGUUUGUUUGCUUGUUUGUUUCUGUAAGGGGUCUAUAUUAUUCCGGGGAAAUUUCAUGUUUAGUUUGGAAAGUUUUUAUUUUAUUUCAGGUCCAGCGCGCGCGCCAGAUUGAGGAGACAUCACGUGACGCGGGUUUAUAAUAACGAAAACUUUUUAUUUCUUUUUAGGUGGGGAUGUUGAACAGACAACAUGUAUAGAGACGGAAUGUACACAAUGUAAUUUCUUUUGUCAUUGUAGGAAAUUUACAUUUUGAUCACAGUUCACCAGCAGUGCAUGCUUUGGAUUUAAUUGAAUCGGUGUAACUUUAAAACACAUUUAAGGAUUAUUUUCUGAUAAUGUACAUUUUUCAGCACCUGUUUGUAACACAGAAUAGUAUUUCAAUCUAGGAGCGGACAUUUUAUUGUAGGAUUUCACUGAGAUUUACGGACCUAGCAAGCGAUUUGUACGGCAUUGCCAUUUCUUUUCUCUAGAAAAAGUCUUGAGAGAUAUCUGCACCACGUUGUUUUAUGAACUUUAAGUACAUGUAUGCCUUGCUGACUGCAAAUUUUGGGGUUGAUUGGGCUUGUUGUUUCAGAGUACAUGUGGAUUUUUUUCAGAAGAGAUGUAAGAACAAUAUUCAAAUUCAAUUCUUCUUGAAUAAUUGAGAGUUUUUUCCUUCCAUGUUAUUUUAAAUGUACUGUAAUAAAUAAACUGUCAUACGUAUUGAUUGAUUGAUUGAUUGAUUGGUUGGUUGGUUGGUUGGUUGGUUAGUUGGUUGAUCAAUUAAACACGUGGGAUAGGGUCCCUUGAAACAGGCGAAAAAAAACCGAAAAUGAGACUCUGUGACCCCGUAUUAAACACAUGAGACGCAAACAUGCACUGAUUGAUUGAUUGAUUGAUUUAUUGGUUGGUUAAACACGUUGAUUGGUUGAUCAAACACGUUGGUUGAUUGGUUAAACACGUUGGAUAGGUUUCUUGAAACAAGCGAGAAAGAAACAAAUGACAUUUUGGACUCCAUAUUAAACACAUGUAUGAUUCGUUGGUUGGUUGGUUGGUUAAACAUGUUGAUUGGUUGAUUAAACACGUUGGUUGGUUGGGUUAAACACGUUGGAUAGGGUUUCUUAAAACAAGCGAAAAAAAAACAAAUGAGAUAUUGGACCCAAUAGUAAACACAUGAGACGGAAACAUGCACUGAUUGAUUGAUUGGUUGGUUAAACACGUUGAUUGGUUGAUUAAACAUGUUGGUUCGCUAACCACGUUGGAUAGGUUUCUUGAAACAAGUGGAAAAGAAAUGAAUGAGAUCUUGGACUCCAUAUUAAACACAUGAGACGGAAACAUGCACUGAUUGAUUGAUUGAUUGAUUGGUUGGUUAAACAUGUUGAUUGGUUGAUUAAACACGUUGGUUGGUAAACAGAUAGGGUUUCUUGAAACAAACGAGAAAGAAACAAAUGAGAUAUUGAACUCCAUAUCAAACACAUGAGACGGAAACAUGCACUGAUUGAUUGAUUGGUUGGUUAAACAUGUUGAUUGGUUGAUUAAACACGAUGGUUGGUCGGUUGGUUAAACACGUUAGAUAGGGUUUCUGGAAACAAGCGAGAAAGAAACAAAUGAGAUCUUGGACCCCAUAUUAAACACAUGAGACGGAAACAUGCACUGAUUGAUUGAUUGGUUGAUUGAUUGAUUGGUUGAUUGAUUGAUUGGUUGGUUGGAUAAACACGUUGAUUGGUUGAUUAAACACGUUGGUUGGUUAAACACGUCUUUAAAAGCGGAAAAGAAAUAAAUUAGAUCUUGGACCCAAUUUUAAACACUUGAGACAGAAACAUACAUGCACUGAUUGAUUGAUUGAUUGAUUGAUUGAUUGAUUGAUUGAUUGAUUGAUUGAUUGAUUGAUUAGUUGGUUGGUUGGUUGAUUGGCAUCAAAACAACACACAUAAAACUCUUUAAAUAAUGCCAAAAUCACAUAAUUUGCCUCUUAGUACAUGACCUUGACCUUUCACAUUUCGACAUUCGUCAAGAUCAUUGCUCCACAAUGUCAUUACAAAAGACCCUAUGGGUCAAGGACCUUUUGUUUAAGAGUUUUGCCUAAUAAUGGCUUUUUAUAAACUAUGAAUGGGGGUUAUGUCCCUUACAUAAUGGUAAAACCAAUACAUAUAACAUAAAAAUGUUGCCCCUUGAAGUACCAAGACUUUUUUCACUACUUAAAUUUUCUGUAUGCAUAACCAUUCCAAAGUUAUAGGGAAAUCAAAGACAAAUAAUAUCUAAAAUACGACCUUGACCUUUGGCCUUGACCUUUUUUUCAUUUUUUUGGACCAAGGAUCUCAAAUCAAAAGACCCUAGGUCUCUAUCACUUUUAAAAUACAUUUCAAAAUUUCAAAUACAAAAGGGGAAAUAACUCUCAUAUGGAAUCUCUAUACGGCUUCGGUCUAAAUAAAACAGCACAUCCUGAGGCUACAAGGAGCAAUUUUGAAAAAUAAAUUUGUCGGUUUCUUAUACGGUUGUGAAAAUUAAGCUAUAACAAGAAAAACAGUGUUCGGGGAGAUAACUCUUAUAUGGGAAAGUAUUCGGUUUCGCAGUGUCAGUUUCAAAAGCGCAUAAUCUGUUCGAUAUCAUAUUACAUUUAUCUAAGCAACAUCUUGCGAAACAAAAAAACAGCGAAGGAAAAAAUUUUGGCGGAAGAAAAAAAUAAUAAUAAUAAUAAUAAUUAAAAACCAAUUGUUCAGAGAACCAUUGAUGGUCUUUCCACCAGCUAAGACCUUUUUUUAUUUGAAAAUAUUAACAUUUGGUUCAAAAUGUCAAUUUUAGAGUCAAAUGAAAGCUUAUUGAACGCUUAUUCCAAAAAUAUGGUUUCUGGUUUAAAAAAAAAAAAAUAUAUAGAAAAGGAAGAAGAUAAUCUUUUAUUUCCGGUUUAAAAAGUUUACUUCCGGUAUUGUUUGAUAGUUUACUUGACACUGAUUUCAAAAUAUAUGGUUUUAUAUACUUUUUGUUGAUUUAGUACAAAAAGUAGCUACUUCCUGUUUACAAAAGGUUACUUCCGGUUGUGUUUUUUAAGGUCACAUUGCUUACAACUAAAUGCAAAAAGUCCCAUGGCUUUAUCAUGUGUACAUAUGAGGUAAAAGAAAAGGUCAAAAUCUAGAAUGUUUAAUUAGCAUAUGACCUUGAGCUCAAUUUCAAGGUCAUCAACCAAGAACCUCAAAUCAAAAGACUCUAGUCCUCUACUUUAUAUUGUUAAUGAGUUAUAUUACCAUACGUAUGAUAUAAGAUAUAAAAAGGGGGAAAACUCGCGUCAAAUGUCUACGUACCCUUUCGACUAAAAUUUAUGUGUUACGACAUGUCGUAACUCACAAUUGUGUGAAAAUAUUUUGUUGAUAUCUUAUAUGAAUUCUGAAAAAAAGAGAUAACAAGCCAAAAUCAAAAUUUUAAUCAUGACUUUGACCUUUGACCUUGACCUCAUUUUCAUUUUUUAGGACCAAGGACCUCAAAUCAAAAGACCCUAGGCCUCUACCACUUAUGGCUUUCCAGUUAAAAAUGCAUAUCACUUAUAUCAAAUAUAAAAGGGGAAAUAACUCUCAUAUGGAGUCUCCGGAUAGCUUCGGUCAGAAUUAAUCAAAUCAUCCUGAGGAUAUAACGAGCAAUUUGGUAAAAUAAAUUUGUCGGUUUCUUAUACGGUUGAGAAGAUUAAGCGAUAACAAGAAAAAUAGUGUUCGGGGAGAUAACUCUUAUAUGGUUUAGCAGGGUCAGUUUCAAAAGCGCAUAUACUGUUCGAUAUCAUAUUUCAUUUAUCUAAGCGACAUCUUGCGAAACAAAAAAACAGCGAAGAAAAAAAAAUUAAAAAACGACUUUUGUCUGCACUAGUUGCAAAGGGAAGCUAACUAGCUGAGGUCUACUUGAGAAAAAAAUCCAGGGUGUUGUUUUGCUUAAUUUCUUUUUUUUAACUAGGUCCAAAGUUUGGGUCGGACACCCUAUCCCACCCUUACAGAAAAGUUAAUAAAACAUGUUCUACGGCAAUACUUUUGUCUGCACUAGCUAUAUAGGUGCAAAGGCAAGCUGGGCAGCUGAGGUCUACUUGAGGAAAAAUCAAGGGUGUUGUUCGGCUUAGUUUUGUUUUUAAGUAGGUCCAGAGUUGGGGUC